This 369-nucleotide ribosomal RNA is filed under the name uncultured organism. Its description in RNAcentral is "bacterial SSU rRNA". It matches the Rfam family "Bacterial small subunit ribosomal RNA", at positions 527 to 896 of the family's 1533-position model. The record is from RNAcentral.
CGAAGGGGCUAGCGUUGUUCGGAAUUACUGGGCGUAAAGCGCGCGCAGGCGGUUUUUCAAGUCAGUGGUGAAAGCCCGGAGCUCAACUCCGGAACUGCCAUUGAAACUGUAAAACUUGAGGAUGAGAGAGGUGAGUGGAAUUCCCAGUGUAGAGGUGAAAUUCGUAGAUAUUGGGAAGAACACCGGUGGCGAAGGCGGCUCACUGGCUCAUAUCUGACGCUCAGGCGCGACAGCGUGGGGAUCAAACAGGAUUAGAUACCCUGGUAGUCCACGCCGUAAACGAUGAAUGCUAGCCGUUGGGCAGCUUGCUGUUCAGUGGCGCAGCUAACGCAUUAAGCAUUCCGCCUGGGGAGUACGGCCGCAAGGUUG